UUCAAAUUUUAGAUCCUCACUGCCGACGUUUGGAAAUUCCAGAUUUAGAUUUUGGAGAGUGAGAUGGAAGAGCUCAGAUGAGUAUUAAUAGGAGAGCAUUUUUGUGACAGGAACCUGGACACCACUUGAGUGGAACUGGAACCAUUGCAUGUUGCUGUCAGAGUUACUGAAUUUCUCAUUGCUGCCAUGAUCACCUUACCUCAGAUCAAGGCAAGUUCAGG
Non-coding RNA from Chiloscyllium plagiosum (whitespotted bambooshark), 221 nucleotides. The record is from RefSeq and is a predicted model, not a curated record. NCBI's taxonomy places the organism in Eukaryota, Metazoa, Chordata, Chondrichthyes, Orectolobiformes, Hemiscylliidae.